Molecule: long non-coding RNA, 1746 nt
Filed under: Apis mellifera (honey bee)
Lineage: Eukaryota; Metazoa; Arthropoda; Insecta; Hymenoptera; Apidae
Description: uncharacterized LOC113219248
Source: RNAcentral
AUUGAUUGAUUAAUCUCUUUACAAUUAAUUUCUAAUUUAGAAUUAACUAAAAAAUUAAUUGAUUCACUAUGUAUGAAAAUCAUUCCUCAUAUAAUUGUUUCAGUGAAAAAAAAGUAUUUAUAUUAUUUCUUAACAAAGUAAGUAUUGAUGUAAGUAGUAAGUAAGAUAAUAAUUGCAAAAAGAAUAUUAAAAACUAAAUGGAAAAGAUAUAAUAGAUGAAUAAAUCUAACCUUAUAUCUUUAUAGAUAUUAUAUUUCAUAUAAUUACUUCAAUAAAAGGAAAGAAUUUAUAUCAUUUCUUAGAGAAAUAAGUGUGAUAAUAGUCGUGAAGAAAAAUCGAAAAAAUAUUAAUAAUGGAUAGACUUAACCUUACAUCUUUGCUCUCAUGGUUGAGUUUUCACCGUGGUUUCGAACCCUUUGUUCUAGUAUGGGUCACGUGCCGUCGUUGAUGGGAGAAUUAUCGUCCACGAAAGAGGCUUCCCACUCUCUAUUGUGGCCACGACGGUUGAGGGGUUGAGCAAAACAGAGACAAGAAGAUAGAAAAGGGAGUAAAAGAGAGACGGUCGAACGACAGAAACGCAAAAGGGUGGUUUUGCCCAGACUCACAAGUGGCAGCUUUUAAUCUCUUCCAGGGAUAUCUCAACUCGAGUCUGAAUUGUACCUCGUUACCAGCGAUUUAAUUGCUUGUUAAUGGAUAAUCGAAGUAUUUUACGAAUUGGCUCCGGCAAUACUAACCAUCGACUUCAUGAAUUAACCGAUAACAAAUCAUAUCCAUUGAAAAUAUCAACCUAAUGGAAGAUAUAAAACUACAGGCACGAAAGUAAAUAUUUAAUAGUCUGCUCUAAAUAAUAGAAGAGACACAAGGUGGGAGGUUACGGUGCUAAUUGACCGAUCAAUCUUCAUUAGAAAACGGCUUAAUUACAGUACAAGCUCUCUCUCUUAGAAACUGCUCUCCGUCGUAGCCAUCGUUUCCUUCACCUCCUUUCUUCCGGUGCCCUGGAAAGUUUAAUAAUUCCGAAACCUUGGUGAGAUAUAAAUCACAGAGGUACCUCUCUCGAUGCCGUCCUCCUUUUCCCUCUGCCUUUCUCUCCGCUAUGGCCAUAAUUCGAAAAACUUUCGAGGGAACAAAAGUGAGGACUUUUGUUCCAAGUUUUAGUCCUUCAUCUCAUUCCUCGUUCGUGAGGGCGCUGUGUUUGCGGAGCGACGCCCCGACAGUGUUUUAUUCGCUUUGUCUCUUUUUCCUGUUAGGUAUACAAUGCCGUAACUGCCUGGACCAUCUCUUCGCGUACCUCCUUCGCGUCCAACCACGAAAGAUUCCAAGUUUCUCUCCUUUCCUCCCUUUUACCAUCUCGCUCUUCUUUAAUUCUUGAUCUUCCUUUUUCUGUCUCAUUCUUUCUUCAUUUUAUUAUUUCUCUUUCUCCGUCACGCUAACCAGAAGAAGACGAGAUAAAGUACGUAUACGCAAAACAUCGAGGGUUUCGCGGCGUUUUGUUGGGUAAAAGAAGGAUAGGAAGAGAACAAAAUGGAACGGAGUACCGCCCACGCAUACAGAAGAAAGACCGGUGAACAAGUUCAUUCCGAUUCUUCUAUACCUUCUCUACCUCUUAGUGGGACCAUUAAAUCUUCGUUGAACAGAUCUGUUAACCAUUCGACCCUUAUGUAAUGAUUAAUAAUGCACAAAUACAAUAUAUUGAUUUCUUUUCUAAUUUAUCAUAUCUAAUUGAUAUGAUAUUGCAAGCGAAUCCUA